CAGCCGCCACGGUAAUACGUAGGUGGCAAGCGUUGUCCGGAAUUAUUGGGCGUAAAGGGCUCGCAGGCGGUUUCUUAAGUCUGAUGUGAAAGUCCCCGGCUCAACCGGGGAGGGUCAUUGGAAACUGGGAAACUUGAGUGCAGAAGAGGAGAGUGGAAUUCCACGUGUAGCGGUGAGAUGCGCAGAGGUGUGGAGGAACACCAGUGGCGAAGGCGGCUCUCUGGUCUGUAACUGACGCUGAGGAGCGAAAGCGUGGGGAGCGAACAGGAUUAGAUACCCCGGUAGUCCCUGUCUCUUAUAC
Molecule: ribosomal RNA, 301 nt
Filed under: uncultured bacterium
Lineage: Bacteria
Description: partial 16S ribosomal RNA
Rfam family: Bacterial small subunit ribosomal RNA
Source: RNAcentral